This 835-nucleotide ribosomal RNA is filed under the name uncultured bacterium. RNAcentral's name for it is "bacterial SSU rRNA". It matches the Rfam family "Bacterial small subunit ribosomal RNA", at positions 27 to 873 of the family's 1533-position model. The record is from RNAcentral.
GGAUGAACGCUAGCGGCAGGCCUAAUACAUGCAAGUCGAACGGAAGUAGCAAUACUUUAGUGGCGCACGGGUGCGUAACGCGUAUGCAACCUACCUUUCAGUGGGGGAUAGCCCGGGGAAACCCGGAUUAAUACCGCAUAAGAUAAUUUGAUGGCAUCAUUAGAUUAUGAAACAUUUAUGGCUGAAAGAUGGGCAUGCGUUAGAUUAGCUAGUUGGUGAGGUAGAGGCUCACCAAGGCGAUGAUCUAUAGGGGUUCUGAGAGGAAGAUCCCCCACACUGGUACUGAGACAGGGACCAGACUCCUACGGGAGGCAGCAGUAGGGAAUAUUGGGCAAUGGAGGCAACUCUGACCCAGCCAUGCCGCGUGCAGGAAGAAGGCCUUCUGGGUUGUAAACUGCUUUUGGAAGAGAACAAAAAGACACUGCGGUGUAAAUUGAGUGUAUCUUCAGAAUAAGCACCGGCUAACUCCGUGCCAGCAGCCGCGGUAAUACGGAGGGUGCAAGCGUUGUCCGGAUUUAUUGGGUUUAAAGGGUGCGUAGGCGGCUACUUAAGUCAGGGGUGAAAGACGAUUGCUUAACAAUCGCAGUGCCUUUGAUACUGAGUGGCUUGAGUACAGAUGAGGCAGGCGGAAUGGGUGGUGUAGCGGUGAAAUGCAUAGAUACCAUCCAGAACACCGAUUGCGAAGGCAGCCUGCUAAACUGUAACUGACGCUGAGGCACGAAAGCGUGGGGAUCGAACAGGAUUAGAUACCCUGGUAGUCCACGCUGUAAACGAUGAUUACUCGAUGUUAGCGAUACACAGUUAGCGUCCAAGGGAAACCGAUAAGUAAUCCACC